UUGACCUCGGAUCAGGUAGGGAUACCCGCUGAACUUAAGCAUAUCAAUAAGCGGAGGAAAAGAAACCAACAGGGAUUGCCCUAGUAACGGCGAGUGAAGCGGCAACAGCUCAAAUUUGAAAUCUGGCGUCUUCGGCGUCCGAGUUGUAAUUUGCAGAGGGCGCUUUGGCAUUGGCAGCGGUCCAAGUUCCUUGGAACAGGACGUCACAGAGGGUGAGAAUCCCGUACGUGGUCGCUAGCCUUUACCGUGUAAAGCCCCUUCGACGAGUCGAGUUGUUUGGGAAUGCAGCUCUAAAUGGGAGGUAAAUUUCUUCUAAAGCUAAAUACUGGCCAGAGACCGAUAGCGCACAAGUAGAGUGAUCGAAAGAUGAAAAGCACUUUGGAAAGAGAGUUAAAAAGCACGUGAAAUUGUUGAAAGGGAAGCGCUUGCAGCCAGACUUGCCUGUAGUUGCUCAUCCGGGUUUCUACCCGGUGCACUCUUCUAUGGGCAGGCCAGCAUCAGUUUGGGCGGUUGGAUAAAGGUCUCUGUCAUGUACCUCUCUUCGGGGAGAACUUAUAGGGGAGACGUCAUGCAACCAGCCUGGACUGAGGUCCGCGCAUCUGCUAGGAUGCUGGCGUAAUGGCUGUAAGCGGCCCGUCUUGAAACACGGACCAAGGAGUCUAACAUCUAUGCGAGUGUUUGGGUGUCAAGCCCGAGCGCGUAAUGAAAGUGAACGGAGGUGGGAACCUUUCGGGGUGCACCAUCGACCGAUCCUGAUGUCUUCGGAUGGAUUUGAGUAAGAGCAUAGCUGUUGGGACCCGAAAGAUGGUGAACUAUGCUUGAAUAGGGUGAAGCCAGAGGAAACUCUGGUGGAGGCUCGCAGCGGUUCUGACGUGCAAAUCGAUCGUCAAAUUUGGGCAUAGGG
Molecule: ribosomal RNA, 904 nt
Filed under: Rachicladosporium iridis
Lineage: Eukaryota; Fungi; Ascomycota; Dothideomycetes; Cladosporiales; Cladosporiaceae
Description: partial 28S ribosomal RNA
Rfam family: Eukaryotic large subunit ribosomal RNA
Source: RNAcentral